RNAcentral lists this non-coding RNA (30 nucleotides) under Homo sapiens (human). The record is from RNAcentral. Lineage: Eukaryota; Metazoa; Chordata; Mammalia; Primates; Hominidae.
UUGAAUGACACACAGGAGCCAGUAAUGGGU